UGCCAGCCGCCGCGGUAAUACGGAGGGUGCAAGCGUUGUCCGGAUUUAUUGGGUUUAAAGGGUGCGUAGGCGGAUCUUUAAGUCAGUGGUGAAAGCCUGCAGCUUAACUGUAGAACUGCCAUUGAUACUGGAGAUCUUGAGUAUACUAGAGGUAGGCGGAAUUUAUGGUGUAGCGGUGAAAUGCAUAGAUACCAUAAAGAACACCGAUAGCGUAGGCAGCUUACUGGAGUAUAACUGACGCUGAUGCACGAAAGCAUGGGUAGCGAACAGGAUUAGAUA
This 279-nucleotide ribosomal RNA is filed under the name uncultured bacterium. Its description in RNAcentral is "partial 16S ribosomal RNA". It matches the Rfam family "Bacterial small subunit ribosomal RNA", at positions 506 to 784 of the family's 1533-position model. The record is from RNAcentral.